CCAGAACAUCUAAAUUAAUAACAAAAAAUACAAACACAAUCAACCAAACCUAAAAUUGGAUAAAUUAAAAUAAAUUCUACUAGACCUAAAUUUAAUAUUUUAUAAUCUAAACCUAGUUUAAUAUACACCACAAUUGUCCCAUGUCCAAAUUAAACAAUUCAAAUUAGCCAAACCCAUGUCAAAUAUUCAAAUAAUCUAACAAAUCCCACCCACAUUAUGGGCCCCAAAAUUCACAUC
RNAcentral lists this long non-coding RNA (237 nucleotides) under Vitis vinifera (wine grape). RNAcentral describes it as "long non-coding RNA (VVIN_LNC005027)". The record is from RNAcentral. Lineage: Eukaryota; Viridiplantae; Streptophyta; Magnoliopsida; Vitales; Vitaceae.